RNAcentral lists this ribosomal RNA (2993 nucleotides) under Firmicutes bacterium AF12-30. RNAcentral describes it as "bacterial LSU rRNA". It matches the Rfam family "Bacterial large subunit ribosomal RNA". Lineage: Bacteria; Bacillati; Bacillota. The record is from RNAcentral.
UUAAAGUAGUAAGGGCGCAGGGUGGAUGCCUUGGCACUAAGAGCCGAUGAAAGACGUGAUAAGCUGCGAAAAGCUUCGGGGAGGAGCACAUAUCCAUUGAUCCGGAGAUAUCUGAAUGGGGAAACCCGGCAGAGGAAACCUCUGUCAGCAUGUAGUGAAUUCAUAGCUGCAUGUGGGGAACCCGGGGAACUGAAACAUCUAAGUACCCGGAGGAAGAGAAAGAAAAUUUAUCGAUUUCCAAAGUAGCGGCGAGCGAAAUGGAAGGAGCCCAAACCGUGGUGCGUGCAUCACGGGGUUCGGACUGCGACAUGAGAGACGUAAGAUAGGAGAACGGACUGGGAAGUCCGGCCGGAGAGAGUGAAAGCCUCGUAUCCGAAAUCCCAAGUCAUCUAGCAGGAUCCAGAGUAGGACGAGACACGAGAAACCUUGUCUGAAGGAGCGGGGACCACCCCGUAAGGCUAAAUACUUCUUAGUGACCGAUAGCGCAUAGUACUGUGAAGGAAAGGUGAAAAGUACCCCGGGAGGGGAGUGAAAGAGAACCUGAAACCCUGUGUCUACAAGCUGUGGGACCUCUUUAUAUGAGGGACUGCGUACUUUUUGUAGAACGGUCCGGCGAGUUGUGCGUACUGGCGAGGUUAAGGACUUAAGGUCCGGAGCCGAAGUGAAAGCAAGCGUUAAGAGCGCGGUCAGUCAGUGAGUGCAGACCCGAAACCGGGUGACCUAUCCAUGUCCAGGUUGAAGCUUCCGUAAGAGGAAGUGGAGGACCGAACCCACAUCCGUUGAAAAGGGUGGGGAUGAGGUGUGGAUAGCGGAGAAAUUCCAAUCGAACCCGGAGAUAGCUGGUUCUCCUCGAAAUAGCUUUAGGGCUAGCCUCAUGAGAGUCUUAUGGAGGUAGAGCACUGAAUUGCCUAGGGGGCGUCAAAGCUUACCAAAGCAUAUCAAACUCCGAAUGCCAUCAAGAUGAUUCAUGGGAGUCAGACCAUACGAGAUAAGUUGGAUGGUCAAAAGGGAAAGAGCCCAGACCUACAGCUAAGGUCCCAAAGUGCGUGUUAAGUGGAAAAGGAUGUGGGGAUUCUAAGACAACUAGGACGUUGGCUUAGAAGCAGCCAUUCAUUGAAAGAGUGCGUAAUAGCUCACUAGUCGAGAGUCCCUGCGCCGAAAAUGUCCGGGGCUGAAACACGACACCGAAGCUUAGGAAUGUGUAAACAUUGGUAGAGGAGCAUUGCUAGCGGGAUGAAGCCAUACCGAAAGGAGUGGUGGACUGCUAGGAAGAGAGAAUGCCGGAAUGAGUAGCGAGAUGAAGGUGAGAAUCCUUCAGGCCGAAUAUCUAAGGUUUCCAGAGUAAAGCUGAUCUGCUCUGGGUAAGUCGGGACCUAAGGCGAGGUCGAAAGACGUAGUCGAUGGAUAACAGGUUGAAAUUCCUGUACCGCAUAUAAACAGAACUGUGGGGACACAGACAGGGAAUGGAAUCCGGGGAUGGAGAACCCGGAGCAAGCGAGGUAGGAGUAUCAUUGGCAAAACCGUGAUACAGAUCUGAAGACGUGAUGCGUACCGAACAUAAGUAGGGAAGUCNNNNNNNNNNAGUGGAUAUCCCGGAGCAAGCGAGGUAGGAGUGCUGUUGGCAAAUCCGCAGCACGAUCUGAAGACGUGAUGCGUACCGAACAUAAGUAGGGAAGUCCAGGCCCCUGGCUGUCAAGAAAAGCCGCUAUUGUUUUAUAUGUGCCCGUACCGCAAACCGACACAGGUGGAUGAGGAGAGAAUCCUAAGGCCGACGGGAGAAGUAUUGUUAAGGAACUCGGCAAAAUGACUCCGUAACUUCGGGAGAAGGAGUGCCAUGAGAGUGGCCGCAGAGAAAUGGCCCAAGCAACUGUUUAGCAAAAACACAGGUCUAUGCAAAACCGCAAGGUGAAGUAUAUGGGCUGACGCCUGCCCGGUGCUGGAAGGUUAAGGGGAGAGGUUAGCGCAAGCGAAGCUUUGAACUUAAGCCCCAGUAAACGGCGGCCGUAACUAUAACGGUCCUAAGGUAGCGAAAUUCCUUGUCGGGUAAGUUCCGACCCGCACGAAAGGCGUAAUGAUUUGGGCACUGUCUCAACGAUACACCCGGUGAAAUUGAAAUACCAGUGAAGAUGCUGGUUACCUGCGCCAGGACGGAAAGACCCCAUGGAGCUUUACUCCAGUUUGAUACUGGGAUUCGGCAUGGUAUGUACAGGAUAGGUGGGAGACUGAGAAGGUAUGACGUCAGUUGUACCGGAGUCGCUGUUGGGAUACCACCCUUACCAUGUUGGAUUUCUAACCUGUGGCCGUGAACCGGUCAGGGGACAAUGUCAGGCGGGGAGUUUGACUGGGGCGGUCGCCUCCGAAAGGGUAUCGGAGGCGCUCAAAGGUUCCCUCAGAAUGGUUGGAAACCAUUCGAAGAGUGCAAAGGCAGAAGGGAGCUUGACUGUGACACCGACGGGUGGAGCAGGUACGAAAGUAGGACUUAGUGAUCCGGUGGUAUAAAGUGGGAUUGCCAUCGCUCAACGGAUAAAAGCUACCCUGGGGAUAACAGGCUUAUCACUCCCAAGAGUUCACAUCGACGGAGUGGUUUGGCACCUCGAUGUCGGCUCAUCGCAUCCUGGAGCUGUAGCAGGUUCCAAGGGUUGGGCUGUUCGCCCAUUAAAGCGGUACGCGAGCUGGGUUCAGAACGUCGUGAGACAGUUCGGUCCCUAUCCGGCGCAGGCGGAGGAAAUUUGAUAGGAGCUGUCCUUAGUACGAGAGGACCGGGAUGGACGGACCGCUGGUGUAUCUGUUGUACUGCCAAGUGCAUCGCAGAGUAGCCAAGUCUGGAAGGGAUAAACGCUGAAGGCAUCUAAGCGUGAAGCCCCCCUAAAGAUAAGAUUUCCCAUACCGAAAGGUAGUAAGACCCCUUGAAGACGACGAGGUAGAUAGGGCAGAGGUGGAAGUGUGGUAACGCAUGGAGCUGACUGUUACUAAUCGGUCGAGGCUUUAACCAA